GCCCAGAUGGUGGAAUUGGUAGACACGCUAGCUUUAGGAGCUAGUGCCAGCAAUGGCUUGGGAGUUCGACUCUCCCUCUGGGCACCA
This 87-nucleotide transfer RNA is filed under the name Candidatus Curtissbacteria bacterium RIFCSPHIGHO2_01_FULL_40_12. RNAcentral's name for it is "tRNA-Leu". It matches the Rfam family "tRNA". Rfam says of the family: Transfer RNA (tRNA) molecules are approximately 80 nucleotides in length. The record is from RNAcentral. Lineage: Bacteria; Candidatus Curtissiibacteriota.